This 253-nucleotide ribosomal RNA is filed under the name uncultured bacterium. RNAcentral's name for it is "partial 16S ribosomal RNA". It matches the Rfam family "Bacterial small subunit ribosomal RNA", at positions 524 to 776 of the family's 1533-position model. The record is from RNAcentral.
GACAGAGGUGCCGAGCGUUAGGCGGAAUCACUGGGCUUAAAGCGUGUGUAGGCGGACUUCUAAGUACCUUGUGAAAUCCCACGGCUCAACCGUGGAACUGCUUGGUAUACUGGUUGUCUUGAGCCACUUAGGGGCAGUCGGAACAGACGGUGGAGCGGUGAAAUGCGUAGAUAUCAGGAGGAACACCGGUGGCGAAGGCGGGUCUCUGGGCCGAUACUGACACUGAGGAGCGAAAGCGUGGGGAGCGAACAGG